GACGAACGCUGGCGGCGUGCUUAACACAUGCAAGUCGAACGGUAAGGCCCUUCGGGGUACGACGAGUGGCGAACGGGUGGAGUAACAACGUGGGUGAUCUGCCUGCACUUCGGGAUAAGCCUGGGAAACUGGGUCUAAUACCGGAUAGGACCAUGGACUUCACGGUUUGUGGUGGAAAGCUUUUGCGGUGUGGGAUGGGCCCGCGGCCUAUCAGCUUGUUGGUGGGGUAAUGGCCUACCAAGGCGACGACGGGUAGCCGGCCUGAGAGGGUGUCCGGCCACACUGGGACUGAGAUACGGCCCAGACUCCUACGGGAGGCAGCAGUGGGGAAUAUUGCACAAUGGGCGCAAGCCUGAUGCAGCGACGCCGCGUGAGGGGAUGACGGCCUUCGGUUGUAACUCUUUCAAUAGGACGAAGCGCAAGUGACGGUA
RNAcentral lists this ribosomal RNA (431 nucleotides) under uncultured bacterium. Its description in RNAcentral is "bacterial SSU rRNA". It matches the Rfam family "Bacterial small subunit ribosomal RNA", at positions 28 to 477 of the family's 1533-position model. The record is from RNAcentral.